CCGAAACGUACUCCUCUCAAUUUUCACAUAUCGUGCGUAUGCUUUUAAUAUUCGAAGAGAACACGAAGGUUGGGGACAAAGAAGAUUCAAGUUAGCAUAAGGAAAAAUAAUGACUCAUAUCACACUUCUCUGUGGUCAGAUUGUGAAGUUUGUUUUUAUUUGUUGAUCUUUUGAAUCGAAAAACCUAAUCCAUGGGUUCAGCCAGUCCAAGCACGAGGAGGUGGUUGUCUUGAGUAUGUUUCUUGAUGCUUUAGUAACUAUGACUCAGGAAAUUGACCUCCGAAUUCAAAUGUCCUCAAUGAUAUCUCUCUGUCUUUUUGACUACGUCUAGGAGAAGCGUGGAAAAGAGAUUGUUUUGAAAGCAAUGGGUCAGGCAAUAAGCAAGACUUUGGCUAUCGCAGAGAUCAUUAAGAGAAGAAUUCCUCGUCUGCAUCAAGACACUGCUAUCAGCUCAGUAAGCAUCACUGAUGUAUGGGAACCUAUUGAAGAGGGCCUUUUGCCGUCAUACCGUCUGAUGUUGGAUAAUUUAGCGGGUGAAAGAUAUUAAAAUCAUGAAAAGUUGCAGAAAUCAUUAUGGCGAUUUUAAUUGUGGCUAAAUUAUUUUGUACGAAUGUAGUAACUAUUAUUAAUUCUGUACGAAUGUAGUAACUAUUAUUAAUUGUGGCUAAAUAAUUUAUAGUUGAUGUAAAAAGAUUAUCGUUAAAGAUAUUGACGUUUAGCGGCAAUUUAGUUAAACAUAUUAGCCGUGCCAUUAGAAUGGAAGCUAAAAGGGCAAACU
Nicotiana attenuata is the source of this 778-nucleotide long non-coding RNA. RefSeq lists it as uncharacterized. The transcript has 5 exons. NCBI's taxonomy places the organism in Eukaryota, Viridiplantae, Streptophyta, Magnoliopsida, Solanales, Solanaceae. The record is from RefSeq and is a predicted model, not a curated record.